ACAUAUUUAAGCGUAUGAAGACAAAAUGUCAUUCUAAGUUAAUUUAAAAUAUUAAGUUUGGAACAAUUUUCUGCACUUCAGAAAACGUAAUAAACAUUUGGUAUCAAUACCAUAAAAAAUAUCGAUACCAUAUUAGGGUUUUAUGAUAUUGCACCGUGUUUUUUAAACAUAAAACAAUUUUUCCCCAAACUUUUUUCUCAUCCGUUUUUCAUUCUCAAAACCCCUAACACUCAAAAUCUCUAAUCUUCCAUUUUUUUUCUUCAUAAUCCCUACACAAAACAACUCCUAUUAUCAUUUUCAUCAAGGAUUACACAAGGUUGCUCAAGGAUUUCACCAUUUUAAAACACAUUUUGAUGUAAAUUUUUUUUUUCGAAAUUUCAUUAAAAUCUUUGUUAAAUAGCUAUUUUGAAAUUGAGUUUUGAGAUGAUUUAGAACAUAUUUAUUGUGUUUUUAUGCAGGAGGUUACCAAAUUUUUCCCCGCGUUGUUGAAAAUGUUGUUUUAAUCUCUUGCUCACCAAGUGUUUGUCAAAAUUUCUCAACGAAAUUUCUUAGUAAAAUUAGUGUGUUUUACAGUUCUAGAUUACAUUAUGCCUCUUAAGAAACGUCCUAGAUUCGAUCCCUCUUAUGCUAGUGCCUCUAGUGAGUCUAACUCGUCCUUUCGCGAAUGUUUUCGUUCUCUGGGAGAACGAGAAUGGUUUGAUAGAGACUUCAUCACUCGUCUAGUUAAUACCUCUAGAACAUUAAAUGUUGAUUGCUUAUAAUCAUUUAAUUUUAGGUAUCUUCCCGUUUUAUGUAAGUGACAAUUGCUUGAUUUCUUUAGAACACGUUCUCCCACUUUCGAAAACCUUGUCCGAGCCUUUUAUAGUAACCAAAUGGUCGAAUAUGACGAGUCCAAUGACACUGUUAUUGCCAUUAAUUCCUAUCUUAUGAAUACACAUAUUCACCUCACUCUAGAAGACUUCAGAAAUUUUUUGUCAUUACCUCCCGGUGGUGUGCCUAAUGAAAAGGGUCCUGUUAAUCCCACCAAUUUUGUUCCAUCUAAUCUUGCUAUUAAUUUAGAUAUGCAUGAUCAAUUAUUGCAUCUCGUUAUCUCUUGGAUCUUUAAACCCAUAUCUAAGCAUUUACCGUCAUUCGAAACGCAGAUUAUUGGUGGAUAGAUUGCUUUAAGUCGAACAGGCCCUUCUCAUGUAUAACGACAUUACCAAAUCUAUUGGGAGAGACCUAGGUAGCUCUAUAACCUUACCAUUUGGGACCUAUCUUUUUUUUUUUUCCCAUUUGGGCAUCAAUACUCGUGUCAAUACCCCCAUCCGAAGACAUCAACCUAUCGGUAUUGGGGCUCUUCAUCAUGCCAAGUACAAGCAAAAUCCCUCUACUGGAGAAUGAGAGAAAGAAGGCCAAGCGACGCGUCAUGAUGAUGAAGACCUUGGAGUUGAUCUUGAUGAUAUUCCACCUCCUGCCAAGCAGGCUUCUUCACCGGCAUCUUCAUCCGCUCAACCAUCUGCUCUGUCUCACUCUGGCAACAUGUUUGCUGCCAUCCUUGGUGCUAUUACUUCCUUGAGUGAGGAGUUUAGUGGUUUUCGUACUUGUGUAGAUGAUGCUUUUGAUUGAGUAAAUAAUAAUGUUGGUAAUCUAGGCUCUAAGAUAAAGACUUUGGAGGAGCAAAUGACUCAACUUCUUGCUCACUUUCCUCCAUUGGAUCCUUCAUCAUCACCUAGGGAUGAUUAGUUUAGACCAUUCAUACGUUUGCAUCAUGCAUCUUUUAAUUUGUUAAUGCACUCUUCUAUUGUCCUACUUUAAUUUGGGAUAUUAUCAUGUUUAUUCUUAAUGUUAGUUCGUUGUUUUCAUAAUUUUCAGUUUCUAUUCUUGGGCUAACAAAAUUUCUCUCAUUUAAGCUUUAUUUGUCCUAUUUUGAUAUAACAAAAAGGGAGAGAAGAGAAAGGUAAAGUUAAUGGUAAUGGUUGAUUGAACAAUAGUUGAUUGUGUUACCAAAAUUUAGUGACCAAUUGUUUCAAAAUGUUUUUCAACUAAAA
This 2030-nucleotide long non-coding RNA is filed under the name Gossypium barbadense (sea-island cotton). RNAcentral's name for it is "long non-coding RNA (GBAR_LNC019395)". Lineage: Eukaryota; Viridiplantae; Streptophyta; Magnoliopsida; Malvales; Malvaceae. The record is from RNAcentral.